UCAGGACGACGCUGGCGGCGUGCCUAAUACGUGCAAGUCGAACGGUCUUUCUAUGGAAGCUUGCUUCCACUGAGAAGAUAGUGGCGAACGGGUGAGGUAACACGUGGGUAACCUGCCCAUAAGAGGGGGAUAACAUCCGGAAACGGGUGCUAAUACCGCAUAGUUUUCUUGAUUGCAUGAUUGAGAAAGGAAAGACGGCCUUUGUGCUGUCGCUUAUGGAUGGACCCGCGGCGUAUUAGUUAGUUGGUGAGGUAACGGCUCACCAAGACGAUGAUACGUAGCCGACCUGAGAGGGUGAUCGGCCACAUUGGGACUGAGACACGGCCCAAACUCCUACGGGAGGCAGCAGUAGGGAAUCUUCCGCAAUGGACGAAAGUCUGACGGAGCAACGCCGCGUGAGUGAAGAAAAGGUUUUCGGAUCGUAAAACUCUGUUGUCAGAGAAGAACAAGUUGGAGAGUAACUGCUCCAGCCUUGACGGUAUCUGACCAGAAAGCCACGGCUAACUACGUGCCAGCCGCCGC
RNAcentral lists this ribosomal RNA (522 nucleotides) under uncultured bacterium. RNAcentral's name for it is "bacterial SSU rRNA". It matches the Rfam family "Bacterial small subunit ribosomal RNA", at positions 24 to 518 of the family's 1533-position model. The record is from RNAcentral.